RNAcentral lists this non-coding RNA (30 nucleotides) under Mus musculus (house mouse). The record is from RNAcentral. Lineage: Eukaryota; Metazoa; Chordata; Mammalia; Rodentia; Muridae.
UCACAAGAUGCCAGGUGUCUUACUUUCUGA